AUCCAGCUGAAGAGUUCCAAAUAGGACGAAACGUGCGUCCUGAGU
Non-coding RNA from Schistosoma mansoni, 45 nucleotides. The record is from Rfam. Lineage: Eukaryota; Metazoa; Platyhelminthes; Trematoda; Strigeidida; Schistosomatidae.